Molecule: ribosomal RNA, 463 nt
Filed under: uncultured bacterium
Lineage: Bacteria
Description: partial 16S ribosomal RNA
Rfam family: Bacterial small subunit ribosomal RNA
Source: RNAcentral
GACGAACGCUGGCGGCGUGCUUAACACAUGCAAGUCGAACGGAAAGGCCUUUUCGGAGGUUCUCGAGUGGCGAACGGGUGAGUAACACGUGGGUGAUCUGCCCUGCACUCUGGGAUAAGCCUGGGAAACUGGGUCUAAUACCGGAUAGGACCGCACUUUAGUGUGUGUGGUGGAAAGUUUUUUCGGUGUAGGAUGAGCCCGCGGCCUAUCAGCUUGUUGGUGGGGUAAUGGCCUACCAAGGCGGCGACGGGUAGCCGGACUGAGAGGUUGGUCGGCCACAUGGGGGAAGGAGAGACGCCCAAGACCCAGAGGGGGGGAAGAGGGGGGGAAUAUGGAAAAAGGGGGGAAGGCUGGAGGCAGCGAGCCCGGGGGGGGGAGGAGGGCUUGGGGGUUGAAACCUCUUUCGGCAGGGGAAAAAGCGUUUUGUGAGGGUACGUGGAGAAGAAGCACGGGAAAAUUACGU